UCAGUCGGCCCAUGAACAUCGGUCGGACUUACCCUAGACCAAUCGUCGGUUAAUUACCCUAUGAGGGCUUACUUGGGUUUUAGUUCACAAAAAUUUGGAACAAAUCUGGGAUGGUAUAACUUCAGUUGUAUAUCAUAAAACGAGAAUAAUUGUCGGCGCCACAGAAAAACGAGAGUAUUUUUUUUAUCUCGUACACGGGGAUGCUCAAAUCAUUCGACAGUACACCAACUCAGGGAAGGAGACUGCGGCGAUGAGGUUGUACUGAAGGAAAAAUUGCCGCCUUUCCGUCAACUUACAGAUUUGAUUCGCAAAGUCUUGAGUGAAGGACAGUAAACCGAUUUCUGUGCGCUUUUUAUCCGGUAUCGUCCAUGCCUGGUGGGAAAAGUCUGGUUAGAGCAUUUCUUCAUCGGAAUUAGGAUUGGUAUCGCACGAGCGACUGGGUAAUGUUUCGAUCUUCUGGCAAAGAAGUAGGACCAAAUGCACAUGAUUAAAUGCAUAUUCAUAAUAAUGAUAAGACACAUGGGGUCUCGGAAUACCUCCUCGGGUAUCCCGUUCUCCUGAUACAAAACUACGAAGCCAUCUUCCUGAAAACUACAUCAUUUGAUACGAAGUUAUUUGCGACAACUUCGAGCCACAGUUACUAGUGUUUCUGAUUGAAAUGGUUUUACAUAAAAGCAAAAAAUUAUAAUAUCUUUCCGGAAGUGUUUCGAUUCUUUUUUUAUUCUUCAUUAAUCACGUACUGUAUUUAUCAGAGAAUAUAUCAUAGGAUAUCUUCGAUUGAAAAGAUGCGCUCAUUGUCGGUCAACAUGCACAUUACGUCGCUCCCGUUUUACUGUGUCGCUUUCAAACGGACUUGUUGUCGUUGAACGAGGAUUUAUUGUCGUAUCGCCCUUUCGAUACGAACCUCCAUCCAUCGUAGAAUUGCUCACGGGACCGUGACCAUUUUGAUAUUCCGUAAGGACUGCCCACCAUCUAUGAGAACGGUUUCCAUUGGAGAUUUAUUUGUCUUUUAUGGCAUCUGAUAGAUUCUUGAGGUAUAUCGUUCCCACUUCCCCCCGUUUUGAGCCAAGCGUUUCAAUGCCGUCACAUGUUACUUUCGGGAAUAAUUUGAUGAUCAACGUACAACGUACGUACAUACCUUAUACGUAGGUAUACCUAUAGGGACCACACGAUGGUAGCUCGUGAGGCUUGCUGAUUCAGACACUUGUUGCGUUCCGGAUGGAUCCAUAUAGCUGAUACAUUCUUCUGUCCGUUUAGGGCAGUUUGGGAGUAAUCAAAGUUGGAAUUCCUACCUUUCGAAUCAUUGUGAGGUAUUUUGCACGUUUAGCUACAACGUGAUUGUAUAGAGUAACAAAGUGUUAUUCUCACAAGGAAGGUAAACUUUUUUGUCUUUGUCAUUUUGCGUCUGUGUUUGAAAUACCGUAAGUAAUCUUCAAUAUUCUCCACGAGCAGCUUCGCGAAGUCGUGUAUUAUUACCCAGUUGUUUAGAAACGCAAUUCUGACAACUCAAUCGAGCCAAGAAGCAAGCUAAUUGAGAUAUCUAAAAUUUCUCGCUUCCGAAGUCCACGCGGGAAGGCAAACAGAUGGGGAUACCAUCCUCUGUAGGUGUUAUUUGAGCUUUUCCAGAGAUAAAAAUUUAUUAUUGCUGGUCGUUGGAAUUACAGCUUCGCCAAACAACGGAACUAAAGAUCGACGCAUAUUGCCGAAUGAUACAUGAUGGGUAUACGUAUACGGAUUGACACAUUCACGUUUUUCACUUCAUUC
Molecule: long non-coding RNA, 1764 nt
Organism: Athalia rosae (coleseed sawfly)
Lineage: Eukaryota; Metazoa; Arthropoda; Insecta; Hymenoptera; Athaliidae
Exons: 2
Source: RefSeq, a predicted model, not a curated record